This 501-nucleotide ribosomal RNA is filed under the name Triticum aestivum (bread wheat). Its description in RNAcentral is "partial small subunit ribosomal RNA". Lineage: Eukaryota; Viridiplantae; Streptophyta; Magnoliopsida; Poales; Poaceae. The record is from RNAcentral.
AUGGCGCCGAUUCACAGUAACAGCUCUCGCCGCCUCGACGGCACGGUGCUUGCGCUUCUGCUCGUGCUCGUGGCCGCCACUGCCUUUGUCGGCGCUGCCGCGGCGCGAGGGGACGCGCUGGCCGCCCGGCACGAGCGGUGGACGGCCAAGUACGGGCGCGCGUACACGGACGCUGCCGAGAAAUUGCACCGGCAGGAGGUGUUCGCGGCCAACGCGCGCCACGUAGACGCUGUCAACCGGGCGGGCAACCGGACGUACACCCUCGGGCUCAACCAGUUCUCCGACCUCACCAACGAAGAGUUCGUGGAGAAGCACCUCGGGUACCGUCACCAGCCGGGCGGGCUCCGUCCCGAGGACACGCCGGUGGCCGCGGUGAACAUGUCCAAGGCUCAGUUCCAGUCCACGCCGGACAGCUUGGACUGGAGGGCCCAGGGCGCCGUCACCCAAGUCAAGAACCAAGCCCCAUGUGGUAAGGAUCUGCAGGCCAAAGUUGGCAAAUGA